This 470-nucleotide ribosomal RNA is filed under the name uncultured bacterium. RNAcentral's name for it is "bacterial SSU rRNA". It matches the Rfam family "Bacterial small subunit ribosomal RNA", at positions 20 to 518 of the family's 1533-position model. The record is from RNAcentral.
UGGCUCAAGAACGAACGCUGGCGGCAGGCUUAACACAUGCAAGCCGAGCGCCCGCAAGGGGAGCGGCAGACGGGUGAGUAACGCGUGGGAAUCUACCUUUUGCUACGGAAUAACUCAGGGAAACUUGUGCUAAUACCGUAUGUGCCCUUCGGGGGAAAGAUUUAUCGGCAAAGGAUGAGCCCGCGUUGGAUUAGCUAGUUGGUGGGGUAAAGGCCCACCAAGGCGACGAUCCAUAGCUGGUCUGAGAGGAUGAUCAGCCACACUGGGACUGAGACACGGCCCAGACUCCUACGGGAGGCAGCAGUGGGGAAUAUUGGUCAAUGGGCGGAAGCCUGAACCAGCCAUGCCGCGUGCAGGAUGACGGCCCUACGGGUUGUAAACUGCUUUUCCCCGGGAAGAAUAAGCCCCUCGUGAGGGGUGAUGCCGGUACCGGGGGAAUAAGGAUCGGCUAACUCCGUGCCAGCAGCUGC